RNAcentral lists this ribosomal RNA (461 nucleotides) under uncultured bacterium. RNAcentral describes it as "bacterial SSU rRNA". It matches the Rfam family "Bacterial small subunit ribosomal RNA", at positions 105 to 598 of the family's 1533-position model. The record is from RNAcentral.
GGUGAGUAACACGUGACUAACCUACCUCCGAGUGGGGAAUAACUCCGGGAAACCGGGGCUAAUACCGCAUAACAUCGCAAGAUCAAAGCAGCAAUGCGCUUGGAGAGGGGGUCGCGGCUGAUUAGCUAGUUGGCGGGGUAACGGCCCACCAAGGCGAAGAUCGGUAUCCGGCCUGAGAGGGCGCACGGACACACUGGAACUGAAACACGGUCCAGACUCCUACGGGAGGCAGCAGUGGGGAAUUUUGCGCAAUGGGGGAAACCCUGACGCAGCAACGCCGCGUGGAGGAUGAAGCCCUUUGGGGCGUAAACUCCUUUCGACUCGGACGAUAAUGACGGUACGAGUGGAAGAAGCACCGGCUAACUCUGUGCCAGCAGCCGCGGUAAUACAGAGGGUGCAAGCGUUGUUCGGAAUUAUUGGGCGUAAAGGGCGCGUACGCGGUGCGGUAAGUCACCUGUGAA